GGUCGUAGCUCAGCUGGGAGAGCACCUGCCUUGCACGCAGGGGGUCAGGAGUUCGAUCCUCCUCGGCUCCACC
Molecule: transfer RNA, 73 nt
Filed under: Legionella pneumophila 2300/99 Alcoy
Lineage: Bacteria; Pseudomonadati; Pseudomonadota; Gammaproteobacteria; Legionellales; Legionellaceae
Description: tRNA-Ala
Rfam family: tRNA
About the family: Transfer RNA (tRNA) molecules are approximately 80 nucleotides in length.
Source: RNAcentral